UGGGGAAUAUUGGGCAAUGGGCGCAAGCCUGACCCAGCCAUGCCGCGUGAGUGAUGAAGGCCUUCGGGUCGUAAAGCUCUGUGGGGAGGGACGAAACAGCAUGUGGCUAACAUCCACGGGCCUUGACGGUACCUCCUUAGCAAGCACCGGCUAACUCCGUGCCAGCAGCCGCGGUAAUACGGAGGGUGCAAACGUUGCUCGGAAUCAUUGGGCGUAAAGCGCACGUAGGCGGUCUGUCAAGUCGGAUGUGAAAGCCCUGGGCUCAACCCAGGAAGUGCAUUCGAAACUAGCAGACUUGAAUAUGGAAGAGGGUCGCGGAAUUCCCGGUGUAGAGGUGAAAUUCGUAGAUAUCGGGAGGAACACCAGUGGCGAAGGCGGCGACCUGGGCCAAUAUUGACGCUGAGGUGCGAAAGCGUGGGGAGCAAACAGGAUUAGAUACCCGUGUAGUCC
RNAcentral lists this ribosomal RNA (450 nucleotides) under uncultured bacterium. RNAcentral describes it as "bacterial SSU rRNA". It matches the Rfam family "Bacterial small subunit ribosomal RNA", at positions 355 to 796 of the family's 1533-position model. The record is from RNAcentral.